Long non-coding RNA from Homo sapiens (human), 525 nucleotides. RefSeq lists it as uncharacterized. The transcript is spliced from 2 exons. Lineage: Eukaryota; Metazoa; Chordata; Mammalia; Primates; Hominidae. The record is from RefSeq and is a predicted model, not a curated record.
GCUCAAAUUCUCUAUCUGCAAAGCUCUAAGGUGCAUCUGGGGGUGUCGACUCACCUCAUAGAUAUCUUCGUACUUGACAUUCUCCACAAGCUUCCAGAGCAUGAUGGCAGCCUGGUCUCUAGGAGGGUGCGGAGAGCUUCUCAUAGCCGGAACAGACGCCCAGAAGAGGAUCUCUGCGCCUGGGACAGAAAAGAAAUGCCAGGAGGGACCGAGGAGGGAUGGGGCAAUUUGGGGUGGAAGUUAUUAAGCCUGGUGAGAGUGAAUCUGCAAAGGGUGAUUGUCUUUAAAUCCAGGACUGCUGUGUGCAGCUCUGCGCGAACAGGGAUGGACGCUGUUUGAGUACAGGGCUCCGGACAACCUUGUUGGACGUCGAUUCAAUCAAAACCAAGGAGAAGCUUCAUGAACUGCAGAAUAAACAAUUCUGCAGAUUUUUAAUUUAAUUUUUAAAGAUAAGUCAAAGGAAAAGAACACAAAGAAGGUGCUUCAGAAGGAACUUCAGAAAUAAACCCCUUAUUUCCGGUUGAA